Molecule: long non-coding RNA, 252 nt
Filed under: Panax ginseng (ginseng)
Lineage: Eukaryota; Viridiplantae; Streptophyta; Magnoliopsida; Apiales; Araliaceae
Description: long non-coding RNA (PGIN_LNC007832)
Source: RNAcentral
UUGUGGUCAACAAGCUCAGAGAAGUUCUAAAGAGUACUGCAGUACUAUAUAAAGAUGCUAAUUCAAAAUAUGCAUUUGUUUACUUUCUGUGCUGGGAUUGAAGCUAUAUUUGAACUAGUUGGUGAUAUGGUGUUCUCAAUUUUGUGGUUGCAUUUCCACCUUGAGGACGGGGUUAAUUUUGAGGGGUUGGUAAUAUAACAAAUAUAGCCUCAUGUAUAUAUAAAUAAAUGUAGGGCUAAGAUUAGAUUAAAA